UGGGGAAUAUUGCACAAUGGGCGCAAGCCUGAUGCAGCGACGCCGCGUGAGGGAUGACGGCCUUCGGGUUGUAAACCUCUUUCAAUAGGGACGAAGCGCAAGUGACGGUACCUAUAGAAGAAGGACCGGCCAACUACGUGCCAGCAGCCGCGGUAAUACGUAGGGUCCGAGCGUUGUCCGGAAUUACUGGGCGUAAAGAGCUCGUAGGUGGUUUGUCGCGUUGUUCGUGAAAACUCACAGCUUAACUGUGGGCGUGCGGGCGAUACGGGCAGACUAGAGUACUGCAGGGGAGACUGGAAUUCCUGGUGUAGCGGUGGAAUGCGCAGAUAUCAGGAGGAACACCGGUGGCGAAGGCGGGUCUCUGGGCAGUAACUGACGCUGAGGAGCGAAAGCGUGGGGAGCGAACAGAUUAGAUACCCUGGUAGUCCACGCCGUAAACGGUGGGUACUAGGUGUGGGUUUCCUUCCUUGGGAUCCGUGCCGUAGCUAACGAUUAAGUACCCCGCCUGGGGGAGUACGGCCGCAAGGCUAAAAACUCAAAAGGAAUUGACGGGGGUCAUAGCUGUUUUU
This 569-nucleotide ribosomal RNA is filed under the name uncultured bacterium. RNAcentral describes it as "partial 16S ribosomal RNA". It matches the Rfam family "Bacterial small subunit ribosomal RNA", at positions 355 to 933 of the family's 1533-position model. The record is from RNAcentral.